RNAcentral lists this ribosomal RNA (886 nucleotides) under Hexagrammos octogrammus (masked greenling). RNAcentral's name for it is "partial 16S rRNA". The stretch from base 191 to 886 matches the Rfam family "Bacterial large subunit ribosomal RNA", at positions 566 to 1685 of the family's 2925-position model. The record is from RNAcentral. Lineage: Eukaryota; Metazoa; Chordata; Actinopteri; Perciformes; Hexagrammidae.
UGCCUAACAGCUAGCCCACCCAAACAAUUUCAACAAACCCCUGUUAAUAACCCCUAAGUACCCCAGUAUUUAUUUUAAACAAACCAUUUUUCCCCCCUAGUAUAGGCGAUAGAAAAGGGCCCACGGCGCAAUAGAGAAAGUACCGCAAGGGAACGCUGAAAGAGAAGUGAAACAACCCAGUAAAGCCUAAAAAAGCAGAGAUCUAAACUCGUACCUUUUGCAUCAUGAUUUAGCAAGUGUAACCCAAGCAAAGCGUACUUUAGUUUGACGUCCCGAAACUAGGUGAGCUACUCCAAGACAGCCUAUCAAUAGGGCGUACCCGUCUCUGUGGCAAAAGAGUGGGGAGAGCUUUGAGUAGAGGUGACAAACCUACCGAACCUAGUUAUAGCUGGUUGUCCAAGAAAUGAAUAGAAGUUCAGCCUUUCAGCUUCUCUUUUCACCUUAGUCUGACCCCUAUUGAUGCAUUAAAGAAACCGAAAGAGUUAGUCAAAGGGGGUACAGCCCCUUUGAAUCAAGACACAACUUUACCAGGAGGGUAAAGAUCAUAAUAAUUAAAGCUAAAUGUUUGGGUGGGCCUAAAAGCAGCCAUCCCCUUAGAAAGCGUUAAAGCUCAGACAUGCGACUAUCCUUCUUAUCCUGAUCACUCAAUCUUACCCCCCUAACCGUACUGGACCAUCCCAUGCCAACAUGGGAGUGACUAUGCUGAAAUGAGUAAUAAGAGAGCUACCGGCUCUCUCCCUGCACACGUGUAUAUCGGAACGGACAACCCACCGAACCUUAACGGCCCCAAAUAAAGAGGGCAGUGGAUGUUAGACCAAAAAACUAGAAAAGUAUCCAAAAACCAACCGUUAAACCCACACAGGUGUGCCCCCAGGGAAAGACUAAA